RNAcentral lists this ribosomal RNA (530 nucleotides) under Nesterenkonia sp. Al-Dhabi-33. Its description in RNAcentral is "bacterial SSU rRNA". It matches the Rfam family "Bacterial small subunit ribosomal RNA", at positions 62 to 602 of the family's 1533-position model. Lineage: Bacteria; Bacillati; Actinomycetota; Actinomycetes; Micrococcales; Micrococcaceae. The record is from RNAcentral.
UCGAACGAUGAAGCUUCCUGCUUGCAGGAAGUGGAUUAGUGGCGAACGGGUGAGUAUCACGUGAGCAACCUGCCCUUGACUCUGGGAUAAGCCUGGGAAACUGGGUCUAAUACCGGAUAUAACCUCUUACCGCAUGGUGAGUGGUGGAAAGCUUUUGCGGUCUUGGAUGGGCUCGCGGCCUAUCAGCUUGACGGUGAGGUAGUGGCUCACCGUGGCGAUGACGGGUAGCCGGCCUGAGAGGGUGACCGGCCACACUGGGACUGAGACACGGCCCAGACUCCUACGGGAGGCAGCAGUGGGGAAUAUUGCACAAUGGGCGAAAGCCUGAUGCAGCGACGCCGCGUGCGGGAUGACGGCCUUCGGGUUGUAAACCGCUUUCAGCAGGGAAGAAGCGCAAGUGACGGUACCUGCAGAAGAAGCGCCGGCUAACUACGUGCCAGCAGCCGCGGUAAUACGUACGGCGCGAGCGUUAUCCGGAUUUAUUGGGCGUAAAGAGCUCGUAGCGGUUUGCCGCGUCUGCUGUGAAAGCC